GAUGAACGCUGGCGGCGUGCCUAAUACAUGCAAGUCGAGCGAACGGACGAGAAGCUUGCUUCUCUGAUGUUAGCGGCGGACGGGUGAGUAACACGUGGAUAACCUACCUAUAAGACUGGGAUAACUUCGGGAAACCGGAGCUAAUACCGGAUGAUAUUUUGAACCGCAUGGUUAAAAAGUGAAAGACGGUCUUGCUGUCACUUAUAGAUGGAUCCGCGCUGCAUUAGCUAGUUGGUAAGGUAAUGGCUUACCAAGGCAACGAUGCAUAGCCGACCUGAGAGGGUGAUCGGCCACACUGGAACUGAGACACGGUCCAGACUCCUACGGGAGGCAGCAGUAGGGAAUCUUCCGCAAUGGGCGAAAGCCUGACGGAGCAACGCCGCGUGAGUGAUGAAGGUCUUCGGAUCGUAAAACUCUGUUAUUAGGGAAGAACAUAUGUGUAAGUAACUGUGCACAUCUUGACGGUACCUAAUCAGAAAGCCACGGCUAACUACGUG
Molecule: ribosomal RNA, 497 nt
Filed under: uncultured bacterium
Lineage: Bacteria
Description: partial 16S ribosomal RNA
Rfam family: Bacterial small subunit ribosomal RNA
Source: RNAcentral